GAUAAACGCUGGCGGCGCACAUAAGACAUGCAAGUCGAACGGACUUAACUCAUUCUUUUAGAUUGAGAGCGGUUAGUGGCGGACUGGUGAGUAACACGUAAGCAACCUGCCUAUCGGAGGGGAAUAACAGUGAGAAAUCAUUGCUAAUACCGCAUAAGCUAGUAGCAUCGCAUGAUGUAGCUAGAAAAGGAGUAUUCCGCUGAUAGAUGGGCUUGCGUCUGAUUAGCUAGUUGGUGGGGCAACGGCCUACCAAGGCGACGAUCAGUAGCCGGACUGAGAGGUUGAACGGCCACAUUGGGACUGGGAUACGGCCCAGACUCCUACGGGAGGCAGCAGUCGGGAAUAUUGCGCAAUGGAGGAAACUCUGACGCAGUGACGCCGCGUAUAGGAAGAAGGUUUUCGGAUUGUAAACUAUUGUCGUGAGGGAAGAAAUUGACAGUACCUCAGGAGGAAGCUCCGGCUAACUAUGUGCCAGCCGCCGCUGUAA
RNAcentral lists this ribosomal RNA (487 nucleotides) under uncultured bacterium. RNAcentral describes it as "partial 16S ribosomal RNA". It matches the Rfam family "Bacterial small subunit ribosomal RNA", at positions 28 to 523 of the family's 1533-position model. The record is from RNAcentral.